GACUGGCAUGCUCGCCCAGGUUAUGCGCGCGCUGAGACGUGCUAUCAAGUGUGGACCGGCUGUUGGAGGAUUUUGUUGUCGGUACCCACGCCGAAGGCCUGCCGGUGGGAAGGGGACAGGAGAACGCGAUGGCCAUGCUGAAUGACGCUUUGCAUAGAUGGAUUAUGUAUGUUUGACGGCAAGUACGCACCAUGUCCGCGGUCUCCAUGACGCAGUAACCGAUGACGAUGCCAGCAACAAUGCCCAGGACAACCUGCGCGGCAGAGGCAUCGAGUAGCUCUGCAGCGGCAGUUGCGAGCAAGCGGAGUGAAGCAACUCCUUGGCGCACCAUGAGAAUCUUCUCCAGGAUAGAAACGCCCAAUGACUGGGAUGCUUUGCCCAUUGUCCGAUCAACGCUUAAUGCGGUUGUAAUUUAAGUCGACGACUCAGUUGUGCGGCUGUUAUCUUACAAUGGCGCCUGCCAGAUGAUGUAGGUAAGAUGCGAGAUGAUCUAAGUUUUAAUUGUGCCAAGCUUCAAAAC
RNAcentral lists this long non-coding RNA (520 nucleotides) under Volvox carteri. RNAcentral's name for it is "long non-coding RNA (VCAR_LNC002549)". The record is from RNAcentral. Lineage: Eukaryota; Viridiplantae; Chlorophyta; Chlorophyceae; Chlamydomonadales; Volvocaceae.